UGGCGGACGGGUGAGUAAUGUCUGGGAAACUGCCCGAUGGAGGGGGAUAACUACUGGAAACGGUAGCUAAUACCGCAUAAUGUCUGCGGACCAAAGCGGGGGACCUCCGGGCCUCGCGCCACCAGAUGAACCCAUAUGGGAUUAGCUUGUAGGUAAGGUAACGGCUUACCUAGGCGACGAUCCCUAGCUGGUCUGAGAGGAUGACCAGCCACACUGGAACUGAGACACGGUCCAG
RNAcentral lists this ribosomal RNA (235 nucleotides) under uncultured bacterium. Its description in RNAcentral is "partial 16S ribosomal RNA". It matches the Rfam family "Bacterial small subunit ribosomal RNA", at positions 96 to 334 of the family's 1533-position model. The record is from RNAcentral.